This 493-nucleotide ribosomal RNA is filed under the name uncultured bacterium. RNAcentral describes it as "partial 16S ribosomal RNA". It matches the Rfam family "Bacterial small subunit ribosomal RNA", at positions 29 to 523 of the family's 1533-position model. The record is from RNAcentral.
AUUGAACGCUGGCGGCCUGCUUUACACAUGCAAGUCGAACGGUAACAGGUUAGGCUGACGAGUGGCGAACGGGUGAGUAAUGCAUCGGAACGUGCCCGGUCGUGGGGGAUAACGCAGCGACAGCUGCGCUAAUACCGCAUACGAACUGAGGCUGAAAGCGGGGGACCGUAAGGCCUCGCGCGAUCGGAGCAGCCGAUGUCAGAUAAGGUAGUUGGUGGGGUAAAGGCUGACCAAGCAAACGAUCUGUAGCUGGUCUGAGAGGACGACCAGCCACACUGGGCCUGAGACAAGGCCCAGACUCCUACGGGAGGCAGCAGUGGGGAAUUUUGGACAAUGGGCGAAAGCCCGAUCCAGCAAUGCCGCGUGCAGGAAGAAGGCCUUCGGGUUGUAAACUGCUUUUGUACGGAGCGAAAAGGUCUCCCCUAAUACAGGGGGCUCAUGACGGUACCGUAAGAAUAAGCACCGGCUAACUACGUGCCAGCAGCCGCCGCCG